AACGAACGCUGGCGGCAUGCCUAACACAUGCAAGUCGAACGAGACCUUCGGGUUUAGUGGCGCACGGGUGCGUAACGCGUGGGAACCUGCCCUUAGGUUCGGAAUAACUCCCCGAAAGGGGUGCUAAUACCGGAUAAUGUCUUCCGACCAAAGAUUUAUCGCCUUUGGAUGGGCCCGCGUUGGAUUAGCUAGUUGGUAGGGUAAAAGCCUACCAAGGCGACGAUCCAUAGCUGGUCUGAGAGGAUGGUCAGCCACACUGGGACUGAGACACGGCCCAGACUCCUACGGGAGGCGGCAGUGGGGAAUAUUGGACAAUGGGCGAAAGCCUGAUCCAGCAAUGCCGCGUGAGUGAUGAAGGCCUUAGGGUUGUAAAGCUCUUUUACCCGGGAUGAUAAUGACAGUACCGGGAGAAUAAGCUCCGGCUAACUCCGUG
RNAcentral lists this ribosomal RNA (433 nucleotides) under uncultured bacterium. RNAcentral describes it as "partial 16S ribosomal RNA". It matches the Rfam family "Bacterial small subunit ribosomal RNA", at positions 29 to 507 of the family's 1533-position model. The record is from RNAcentral.